RNAcentral lists this ribosomal RNA (254 nucleotides) under uncultured bacterium. RNAcentral's name for it is "partial 16S ribosomal RNA". It matches the Rfam family "Archaeal small subunit ribosomal RNA", at positions 474 to 727 of the family's 1478-position model. The record is from RNAcentral.
UACCAGCACCCCCGAGUGGUCGGGACGAUUAUUGGGCCUAAAGCAUCCGUAGCCGGUCAUGCAAGUCUUCCGUUAAAUCCAGCCGCUCAACGGUUGGGCUGCGGAGGAUACUACGUGGCUAGGAGGCGGGAGAGGCAAGCGGUACUCAGUGGGUAGGGGUAAAAUCCGUUGAUCCAUAGAAGACCACCAGUGGCGAAGGCGGCUUGCCAGAACGCGCUCGACGGUGAGGGAUGAAAGCUGGGGGAGCAAACCGG